Molecule: ribosomal RNA, 1000 nt
Filed under: Triticum aestivum (bread wheat)
Lineage: Eukaryota; Viridiplantae; Streptophyta; Magnoliopsida; Poales; Poaceae
Description: partial small subunit ribosomal RNA
Source: RNAcentral
CGGAAAAUUUUUAUUUGUUUACAAAUACAUAAAAGGUUUAGUGAACUUUAGAACACACGAUCGAGUUUUGUAACGCAUGAUCAAUACACUGUUCAAAAUCAAAGUUCUUUUGAAAACCCCAUAAUUUAAUUUUAUGUUUCGCUACUUCUUUUAAUGUUCUGUUUUUUAUAUUUUCUUUUUAUUUGUUUUCUCCUUCUGGUGGCACGUGAUAUCCGGAUCACGAUGUCACCCGUCGGGUUCGGGUGGUGGUCGGAAAAAGAGGGAGGAGACAUAUCAUGUCUCUCCUCCGUCUCCGAACACGCACCGCCGGUAGGGGCGGAGGUACCGGUAGGAACGGCGGCACAGCACGUAGGCCGCUUGGGGAUCUCUACAUAUUCUUGUGCGGGUGCGGGGGCUGCCUGGGAUCGAAGGGGGAAAGAGGGGUGUGCGCGGCGACGAGAGAAGGGGUAGGUGUGGGCUGCGGUGGCAGCGGCACGGCAGCAGCAAGCGCGCGUGGCCUUCGAGGGGCGCGGUGGACCCCUGUAGGUCCUCCUGGCGGUGAGAGAGGAAGCAGGCAGGGCCCCCGGUCGAGUUCGAUCCUGUGGCGUAUCGGAGCGGUAGCGGAGAAGAAGGGCGGUGCCAGCAGCGCGCAGGGGCGGUAGCUAGAGGUGGUGGCCCGGAGGGGCCGGUAGAGCUCGAGCAGAUACUGGAGGGCUGAUACUCUGACUGCGGCGACGACGGGGCUAGCUGAUGCAACAACUGCUGGGGAAGAACGGUCUCGUUGGUCUACGGCCUCGGGUCCUCGGUCUGCGGUGGCAGCUGCUGCUGAGGAUGAUGUCACCUCCACGGAUGUUGACGCACGUCAGGCGACUGCUGCUGGUCCUCAUCAAAUCCUCCUAGGGUCCGUCCUCCGGACGCGGAGAAAGCUAGACAUAGGGUCAAACACGAUCGGAAGAAUUCCGUUAGAACAAAUUGAAUACAGACAUGAGUCUAUAACAACGAAGGCGACUGAGCAGAUACU